UACGGGAGUGGCAAGCGUUAUCCGGAAUUAUUGGGCGUAAAGCGUCCGCAGGUGGUUUUGUAAGUCUGUCGUUAAAGCGUGGAGCUUAACUCCAUUUAAGCGAUGGAAACUGCAAGACUAGAGUGUGGUAGGGGCAGAGGGAAUUCCCGGUGUAGCGGUGAAAUGCGUAGAUAUCGGGAAGAACACCAGUGGCGAAGGCGCUCUGCUGGGCCAUAACUGACACUCAUGGACGAAAGCCAGGGGAGCGAAAGGGAUUAGAUACCCCUGUAGUCCUGGCCGUAAACGAUGAACACUAAGUGUCGGGGGAAUCGACCCCCUCGGUGUCGUAGCCAACGCGUUAAGUGUUCCGCCUGGGGAGUACGCACGCAAGUGUGAAACUCAAAGGAAUUGACGGGGGCCCGCACAAGCGGUGGAGUAUGUGGUUUAAUUCGAUGCAACGCGAAGAACCUUACCAGGGUUUGACAUCCUGCGAAUCUCUUGGAAACGAGAGAGUGCCUUCGGGAACGCAGUGACAGGUGGUGCAUGGCUGUCGUCAGCUCGUGUCGCGAGAUGUUGGGUCAAGUCCCGCAACGAGCGCAACCCACGUCGUUAGUUGCCAGCAUUCAGUUGGGCACUCUAGCGAGACCGCCGGUGGUAAACCGGAGGAAGGUGUGGAUGACGUCAAGUCAUCAUGCCCCUUACAUCCUGGGCUACACACGUACUACAAUGCUACGGACAAAGGGCAGCAAACUCGCGAGAGCUAGCAAAUCCCAUAAACCGUGGCUCAGUUCAGAUCGUAGGCUGCAACUCGCCUACGUGAAGGAGGAAUCGCUAGUAAUCGCAGGUCAGCAUACUGCGGUGAAUACGUUCCCGGGCCU
Molecule: ribosomal RNA, 857 nt
Filed under: uncultured bacterium
Lineage: Bacteria
Description: SSU rRNA
Rfam family: Bacterial small subunit ribosomal RNA
Source: RNAcentral